GUAGGGUGCAAGCGUUAAUCGGAAUUACUGGGCGUAAAGCGUGCGCAGGCGGUUGGGUAAGACAGAUGUGAAAUCCCCGGGCUUAACCUGGGAACUGCAUUUGUGACUGUCCGACUGGAGUACGUCAGAGGGGGGUGGAAUUCCGCGUGUAGCAGUGAAAUGCGUAGAUAUGCGGAAGAACACCGAUGGCGAAGGCAGCCCCCUGGGACGCAACUGACGCUCAUGCACGAAAGCGUGGGGAGCAAACAGGAUUAGAUACCCUGGUAGUCCACGCCCUAAACGAUGUCUGCCGGUUGUUGGAGAUUUGUAUCUUCAGUAACGAAGCUAACGCGUGAAGCAGACCGCCUGGGGAGU
Molecule: ribosomal RNA, 354 nt
Filed under: uncultured bacterium
Lineage: Bacteria
Description: bacterial SSU rRNA
Rfam family: Bacterial small subunit ribosomal RNA
Source: RNAcentral